AGAGUUUGAUCAUGGCUCAGAUUGAACGCUGGCGGUAUGCUUAACACAUGCAAGUCGAACGGUAACAUAACUAGCUUGCUAGUUGAUGACGAGUGGCGGACGGGUGAGUAACGCGUAGGAAUUUACCUUUCGGUGGGGGAUAGCCCGGUGAAAACCGGAUUAAUACCGCAUAAGCCCUACGGGGGAAACGAGGCCACUUCUUGAAAGCUUCGACCGAUAGGAGCCUAUGUCCGAUUAGCUUGUUGGUGGGGUAAAGGCCUACCAAGGCGACGAUCUUUAGCUGGUCUGAGAGGAUGAUCAGCCACACUGGGACUGAGACACGGCCCAGACUCCUACGGGAGGCAGCAGUGGGGAAUAUUGGACAAUGGGCGCAAGCCUGAUCCAGCAAUGCCGCGUGCGUGAAGAAGGCCUGCGGGUUGUAAAGCACUUUCAGUAGGGAAGAAAUGCUCGGGGUUAAUAACUCCGGGUCUUGACGUUACCUACAGAAGAAGCACCGGCUAAUUCAGUGCCAGCAGCCGCGGUAAUACUGAAGGUGCAUGCGUUAAUCGGAAUUACUGGGCGUAAAGCGCGCGUAGGCGGCUUGGUCAGUCAGAUGUGAAAGCCCUGGGCUCAACCUGGGAACUGCAUUUAGAACUGGAAGGCUAGAGUAUGGUAGAGGAGUGUGGAAUUUCAGGUGUAGCGGUGAAAUGCGUAGAGAUCUGAAGGAACAUCAGUGGCGAAGGCGACACUCUGGACCAAUACUGACGCUGAGGUGCGAAAGCGUGGGUAGCAAACAGGAUUAGAUACCCUGGUAGUCCACGCCGUAAACGAUGUCUACUAGCCGUUGGGGUUCCUUGAGGACUUAGUGGCGCAGCUAACGCAUUAAGUAGACCGCCUGGGGAGUUCGGCCGCAAGGUUAAAACUCAAAUGAAUUGACGGGGGCCCGCACAAGCGGUGGAGCAUGUGGUUUAAUUCGAUGCAACGCGAAGAACCUUACCAGGUCUUGACAUCCUACUAAGUUUCCAGAGAUGGAUUCGUGCCUUCGGGAAAGUAGAGACAGGUGCUGCAUGGCUGUCGUCGACUCGUGGCGUUAGAUGUUGGGUUAAGUCCCGUAACGAGCGCAACCCGUAGCCUUAUUUGCCAGCACUUCGGUUGGGAACUCUAAGGAGACUGCCGGUGACAAACCGGAGGAAGGCGGGGACGACGUCAAGUCAUCAUGGCCCUUACGACCUGGGCUACACACGUGCUACAACGGCCGGUACAAAGGGCAGCAAUACCGCGAGGUGGAGCAAAUCUCAGAAAACCGGUCGUAGUCCGGAUUGGAGUCUGCAACUCGACUCCAUGAAGUCGGAAUCGCUAGUAAUCGCGAAUCAGAAUGUCGCGGUGAAUACGUUCCCGGGCCUUGUACACACCGCCCGUCACAUCAUGGGAGUGGGCUGCAAAAGAAGUGGCUAGUCUAACCUUCGGGAGGACGGUCACCACUUUGUGGUUCAUGACUGGGAUGAAGUCGUAACAAGGUAGCCGUAGGGGAACCUGCGGCUUGAUCACCUC
RNAcentral lists this ribosomal RNA (1530 nucleotides) under uncultured prokaryote. RNAcentral's name for it is "partial 16S ribosomal RNA". It matches the Rfam family "Bacterial small subunit ribosomal RNA". The record is from RNAcentral.